This 497-nucleotide ribosomal RNA is filed under the name uncultured bacterium. Its description in RNAcentral is "partial 16S ribosomal RNA". It matches the Rfam family "Bacterial small subunit ribosomal RNA", at positions 28 to 507 of the family's 1533-position model. The record is from RNAcentral.
GAUGAACGCUGGCGGCGUGCCUAAUACAUGCAAGUCGAGCGAACGGACGAGAAGCUUGCUUUUCUGAUGUUAGCGGCGGACGGGUGAGUAACACGUGGAUAACCUACCUAUAAGACUGGGAUAACUUCGGGAAACCGGAGCUAAUACCGGAUAAUAUUUUGAACCGCAUGGUUCAAAAGUGAAAGACGGUCUUGCUGUCACUUAUAGAUGGAUCCGCGCUGCAUUAGCUAGUUGGUAAGGUAACGGCUUACCAAGGCAACGAUGCAUAGCCGACCUGAGAGGGUGAUCGGCCACACUGGAACUGAGACACGGUCCAGACUCCUACGGGAGGCAGCAGUAGGGAAUCUUCCGCAAUGGGCGAAAGCCUGACGGAGCAACGCCGCGUGAGUGAUGAAGGUCUUCGGAUCGUAAAACUCUGUUAUUAGGGAAGAACGUAUGUGUAAGUAACUGUGCACAUCUUGACGGUACCUAAUCAGAAAGCCACGGCUAACUACGUG